RNAcentral lists this long non-coding RNA (204 nucleotides) under Selaginella moellendorffii. RNAcentral describes it as "long non-coding RNA (SMOE_LNC002009)". Lineage: Eukaryota; Viridiplantae; Streptophyta; Lycopodiopsida; Selaginellales; Selaginellaceae. The record is from RNAcentral.
UGGAUUCCUCCCCACAUAUAGCGUACUGGCGAUGAAGCGUAGCCUGGAACAGCUGCUGCCUGCGAGAGAAACCAAUCCAUCAGUCGCAGAAACGAAUCAAAAAGGAAGAACGAUCGAAGAACCAAGGAUAAGAAGUAAAAAACUCUUGAAAGGAAGAACCUGGAGUGCUGGAGAUGGCGCUGCUGCUCCAAUUACAUCGGCCAU